RNAcentral lists this long non-coding RNA (562 nucleotides) under Nicotiana benthamiana. Its description in RNAcentral is "long non-coding RNA (NBEN_LNC024402)". The record is from RNAcentral. Lineage: Eukaryota; Viridiplantae; Streptophyta; Magnoliopsida; Solanales; Solanaceae.
UUACCCUCCUUCUUCGCGAUCGGAGAAGAUCGGCCUUCAAACAACAGAGAAACCCUAGGUAUCAAACCCUAGGUGUAACCUUGGAAAUCCUUACUGGAAAUCUGAUCAGGAACGUUGGAGAGGAACCCAAAACGUCCACUGAGAGAGAAUCGAACCAUCGGAUGGCAGUAAAGCUUUAGGUUAAACCACCACAAACCCUAGAAGCCGAUAGGUCACCCAAAAAUCAACCAAAAAUCAUCAUAAAAUCUUCCAGAACGUUCAGGAGAAGAAAAUACACUCCGAUAUCACGACGAAAGACUCAGAAAGGUGUCCGAUAGAUCGGAAUCUUCAUCGACCGUGAGGUCUCAGAAAACACCCCCAAAACCUAGAAACAAACUUCAUCCAAGACAACGAAGUACAUAGAAACAUAGUCGGAUCGUCGUCGAGGCUCUGAUACCAUGUAAACAUUCAUAUUAGACCGGGAAAUCGUAAAAAAUCUAGAGAGAGAAAGUAGAGAGAAGGCAGAGCGUUUUGGAAUUCUCUGGAAGAUGAGAGAAGUAUAUUACAGAAAAUGAAAAUGAAA